This 219-nucleotide long non-coding RNA is filed under the name Gossypium barbadense (sea-island cotton). RNAcentral's name for it is "long non-coding RNA (GBAR_LNC020159)". Lineage: Eukaryota; Viridiplantae; Streptophyta; Magnoliopsida; Malvales; Malvaceae. The record is from RNAcentral.
AAAAUAAGACGUACUACCAUCCUCUAUCUGACAGAAUUGUAGAACCAGAUAUUCAUCCCCUAACUGUUUAUCCCGAACCUAAUCAAUCCAAGUCGGCUUAACUUGCAACAUAGCUAGUAGACUCUCAUCAUCAAACAGACUUAAGCGAGCAAACAUCACUCUUAAAUCAGGCAUUUCUCUAUGACUAAUAGCAUCAACCACCAUAUUGGCCUUACCGGG